AACGAACGCUGGCGGCAUGCCUAACACAUGCAAGUCGAACGAGACCUUCGGGUCUAGUGGCGCACGGGUGCGUAACGCGUGGGAACCUGCCCUUAGGUUCGGAAUACCUCCCCGACAGGGGUGCUAAUACCGGAUAAUGUCUUCGGACCAAAGAUUUAUCGCCUUUGGAUGGGCCCGCGUUGGAUUAGCUAGUUGGUAGGGUAAAAGCCUACCAAGGCGACGAUCCAUAGCUGGUCUGAGAGGAUGAUCAGCCACACUGGGACUGAGACACGGCCGAGACUCCUACGGGAGGCAGCAGUGGGGAAUAUUGGACAAUGGGCGAAAGCCUGAUCCAGCAAUGCCGCGUGAGUGAUGAAGGCCUUAGGGUUGAAAAGCUCUUUUACCCGGGAUGAUAAUGACAGUACCGGGAGAAUAAGCUCCGGCUAACUCCGUG
RNAcentral lists this ribosomal RNA (433 nucleotides) under uncultured bacterium. RNAcentral's name for it is "partial 16S ribosomal RNA". It matches the Rfam family "Bacterial small subunit ribosomal RNA", at positions 29 to 507 of the family's 1533-position model. The record is from RNAcentral.